AAUUAUAUUACUACUACUGAAAUUUCCCUAGGAAAUAAAUACAGUUCUGUCAAUUUUAUGCUUUGCGCUUGCGAGAAACUUGGCGCCAAUGAAGGUAUUCUACUUCCGAUGAAAUUAUGCUGAACUUAGAGUAAUUUCGAGGGACUUAUCAUCGACGAAUUAUUCCGUCGUAACUAGACUUAUUUCGACAGAUUAAAUCUGUC
This 203-nucleotide long non-coding RNA is filed under the name Panax ginseng (ginseng). RNAcentral's name for it is "long non-coding RNA (PGIN_LNC001606)". The record is from RNAcentral. Lineage: Eukaryota; Viridiplantae; Streptophyta; Magnoliopsida; Apiales; Araliaceae.